Molecule: ribosomal RNA, 252 nt
Filed under: uncultured bacterium
Lineage: Bacteria
Description: partial 16S ribosomal RNA
Rfam family: Bacterial small subunit ribosomal RNA
Source: RNAcentral
UACGGAGGAUGCGAGCGUUAUCCGGAUUUAUUGGGUUUAAAGGGUGCGUAGGCGGACUGUCAAGUCAGCGGUAAAAUUGAGAGGCUCAACCUCUUCCCGCCGUUGAAACUGGUGGUCUUGAGUGGAUGAGAAGUACGCGGAAUGCGUGGUGUAGCGGUGAAAUGCAUAGAUAUCACGCAGAACUCCGAUUGCGAAGGCAGCGUACCGGCAUCCAACUGACGCUGAGGCUCGAAAGCGUGGGGAGCAAACAGG